CCGGGAUCUCGAUUGACACUCAGGAGUCGGGUCCGGGGCUAUGUUUGUGAUUAUCCGCUGCGACAUUCUCAGCAAACCCAAUACCUGCCUCCUGCUCGGUGGAUUUGAGUCACGAUGUUUUUCGUUAAGGAUUCAGCAGCUGCUCCUUCGAGAGAUCUUUGUUUCAUGCGCUCACGAUGAAAGCCGCACUUAUAUUUCGCUGGGAAAUGGAAUCAAGGACCGUGCACCGAGUUCACAAUAAAUAACUAAGCAAAUGGCUGCCCCAUGAAAAUAACUCGGCCGGUGUGUGUGUGUCCAGCCUGGCUGGCAGCCAGCUCGAUGCCCAGGACCUCAAAUCUCCUGGUCACCCAGGGAUGCUCCCCGUGACUGCAACCAGGACGCUUGGCAUCGUGGAYGGGUCUGAGUGAGGACAGACAGGGGAGCUGGGGCUGACCUCCUCCCUCGCCUGCCCUGGGGGGUCUUGGGUGGACACGUGGAGCCCAGGACAGCAUUUUCUCAAGGGUGUUGUUCUGCAAAAUUCGGGAGAUUCUGCAGCUCUGUUCUCUUUGGCAUGAUCCACCACGCACAUGGGUUCUUCUUCUAGGUUAUCCUGAGCCCAGCUCAAGCCCAUCUGUCUCUAGGUCUCAAAUGCACUCUAUCUAUCUAUCUAUCUAUCUAUCUAUCUAUCUAUCUAUCUACCUACCUACCUAUGUAUCAGUGCCAGGGAUUGAAUUCAGGGCCACUCGACCACUGAGCCCCAUCCCCAGCCCUAUUUUGUAUUUUAUUUAGAGACAGGGUCUCACUGAGUUGCUGAGUGCCUCACUGUGGCUGAGGCUGGCUUUGAACUCUCCAUCCUCCUGAUUCUCUGGGAUGACGGCUAUGCGCCACUGUGCCCGGCUCAAAGGUACUUUAUAGUAUGAAUCACAAAUGCAGUGGAUGAGCCAGUUACUUGUGAAGGAGUUUCAUGAUCUCAGCGUCCACUCAAGACUAAGUCCAGAUGGUGGAUCCUGUCUUCUGAUGAAUCCCUGCUGCUUAGUCCAAUACCUGGCACAUAAUAGAUGCUUAAUAAAGAUUUGAAA
RNAcentral lists this long non-coding RNA (1058 nucleotides) under Urocitellus parryii (Arctic ground squirrel). RNAcentral's name for it is "lncRNA (ENSUPAG00010014357.1)". Lineage: Eukaryota; Metazoa; Chordata; Mammalia; Rodentia; Sciuridae. The record is from RNAcentral.